Molecule: ribosomal RNA, 433 nt
Filed under: Streptococcus sp. oral taxon 431
Lineage: Bacteria; Bacillati; Bacillota; Bacilli; Lactobacillales; Streptococcaceae
Description: bacterial SSU rRNA
Rfam family: Bacterial small subunit ribosomal RNA
Source: RNAcentral
GACGAACGCGGGCGGCGUGCCUAAUACAUGCAAGUAGAACGCUGAAGGAGGAGCUUGCUUCUCCGGAUGAGUUGCGAACGGGUGAGUAACGCGUAGGUAACCUGCCUGGUAGCGGGGGAUAACUAUUGGAAACGAUAGCUAAUACCGCAUAACAGUAGAUAUUGCAUGAUAUCUGCUUGAAAGGUGCAAUUGCAUCACUACCAGAUGGACCUGCGUUGUAUUAGCUAGUUGGUGGGGUAACGGCUCACCAAGGCGACGAUACAUAGCCGACCUGAGAGGGUGAUCGGCCACACUGGGACUGAGACACGGCCCAGACUCCUACGGGAGGCAGCAGUAGGGAAUCUUCGGCAAUGGACGGAAGUCUGACCGAGCAACGCCGCGUGAGUGAAGAAGGUUUUCGGAUCGUAAAGCUCUGUUGUAAGAGAAGAAACGA